Molecule: ribosomal RNA, 549 nt
Filed under: uncultured bacterium
Lineage: Bacteria
Description: partial 16S ribosomal RNA
Rfam family: Bacterial small subunit ribosomal RNA
Source: RNAcentral
UGGGGAAUUUUGGACAAUGGGCGCAAGCCUGAUCCAGCCAUGCCGCGUGCGGGAAGAAGGCCUUCGGGUUGUAAACCGCUUUUGUCAGGGUAGAAAUCUUCUGAGUUAAUACCUCGGGAGGAUGACGGUACCUGAAGAAUAAGCACCGGCUAACUACGUGCCAGCAGCCGCGGUAAUACGUAGGGUGCAAGCGUUAAUCGGAAUUACUGGGCGUAAAGCGUGCGCAGGCGGUUUUGUAAGACAGAGGUGAAAUCCCCGGGCUCAACCUGGGAACUGCCUUUGUGACUGCAAGGCUUGAGUGCGGCAGAGGGGGAUGGAAUUCCGCGUGUAGCAGUGAAAUGCGUAGAUAUGCGGAGGAACACCGAUGGCGAAGGCAAUCCCCUGGGCCUGCACUGACGCUCAUGCACGAAAGCGUGGGGAGCAAACAGGAUUAGAUACCCUGGUAGUCCACGCCCUAAAACGAUGUCAACUGGUUGUUGGGAAGGUUCCUUCUCAGUAACGUAGCUAACGCGUGAAGUUGACCGCCUGGGGAGUACGGCCGCAAGGUUG